AACGCGAAGAACCUUACCAGGAUUUGACAUGCCCUCUAUGGAUUCCCGAAAAGGAAUCCUUCACUUCGGGUGGGAGGUGCACAGGUGCUGCAUGGCUGUCGUCAGCUCGUGUCGUGAGAUGUUGGGUUAAGUCCCGCAACGAGCGCAACCCUCGUCUUCUGUUGCUACCACGUUAUGGUGAGCACUCUGAAGAAACUGCCGGUGAUAAGCCGGAGGAAGGUGGGGAUGACGUCAAGUCCUCAUGGCCCUUACAUCCUGGGCUACACACGUGUUACAAUGGCAGUGACAAUGAGUUGCGAUCGCGCAAGCGCUAGCUAAUCUCAAAAAGCUGCCUCAGUUUGGAUUGUACUCUGCAACUCGAGUACAUGAAAUUGGAAUCGCUAGUAAUCGUAGAUCAGCACGCUACGGUGAAUACGUUCCCGGGCCUUGUACACACCGAUAGC
Molecule: ribosomal RNA, 443 nt
Filed under: uncultured bacterium
Lineage: Bacteria
Description: bacterial SSU rRNA
Rfam family: Bacterial small subunit ribosomal RNA
Source: RNAcentral